RNAcentral lists this ribosomal RNA (253 nucleotides) under uncultured bacterium. RNAcentral's name for it is "partial 16S ribosomal RNA". It matches the Rfam family "Bacterial small subunit ribosomal RNA", at positions 524 to 776 of the family's 1533-position model. The record is from RNAcentral.
UACGUAGGGCGCAAGCGUUGUCCGGAAUUAUUGGGCGUAAAGAGCUCGUAGGCGGCUUGUCACGUCGAUUGUGAAAGCCCGAGGCUUAACCUCGGGUCUGCAGUCGAUACGGGCUAGCUAGAGUGUGGUAGGGGAGAUCGGAAUUCCUGGUGUAGCGGUGAAAUGCGCAGAUAUCAGGAGGAACACCGGUGGCGAAGGCGGAUCUCUGGGCCACUACUGACGCUGAGAAGCGAAAGCAUGGGGAGCGAACAGG